RNAcentral lists this ribosomal RNA (429 nucleotides) under Bacteroidota bacterium. RNAcentral describes it as "Bacteroidetes bacterium partial 16S ribosomal RNA". It matches the Rfam family "Bacterial small subunit ribosomal RNA", at positions 355 to 776 of the family's 1533-position model. The record is from RNAcentral. Lineage: Bacteria; Pseudomonadati; Bacteroidota.
UAGGGAAUCUUCCGCAAUGGACGCAAGUCUGACGGAGCAACGCCGCGUGAGUGAAGAAGGAUUUCGGUUCGUAAAACUCUGUUGUUAGAGAAGAACAGCGCAUAGAGUAACUGUUAUGCGUGUGACGGUAUCUAACCAGAAAGCCACGGCUAACUACGUGCCAGCAGCCGCGGUAAUACGUAGGUGGCAAGCGUUGUCCGGAUUUAUUGGGCGUAAAGCGAGCGCAGGCGGUCAAUUAAGUCUGAUGUGAAAGCCCCCGGCUCAACCGGGGAGGGUCAUUGGAAACUUGUUGACUUGAGUGCAGAAGAGGAGAGUUGAAUUCCAGGUGUCGCGGUGAAAUGCGUAAAUAUAUGGAGGAACACCAGUGGCGAAGGCGACUCUCUGGUCUGUAACUGACGCUGAGGCUCGAAAGCGUGGGUAGCAAACAGG